CCUACGGGUGGCAGCAGUGGGGAAUAUUGGGCAAUGGGCGCAAGCCUGACCCAGCAACGCCGCGUGAAGGAAGAAGGCUUUCGGGUUGUAAACUUCUUUUCUCAGGGACGAAGAAAGUGACGGUACCUGAGGAAUAAGCCACGGCUAACUACGUGCCAGCAGCCGCGGUAAUACGUAGGUGGCAAGCGUUAUCCGGAUUUAGUGGUUGUAAAGGGCGGGUAGGCGGGAGCGCAAGUCAGAUGUGAAAACUCAGGGCUCAACCCUGAGCCUGCAUUUGAAACUGUGUUUCUUGAGUGCUGGGGAGGCAAUCGGAAUUCCGUGUGUAGCGGGGAAAUGCGUAGAUAUACGGAGGAACACCAGUGGCGAAGGCGGUUUGCUGGACAGUAACUGACGCUGAGGCGCGAAAGCGUGGGGAGCAAACAGGAUUAGAUACCCCUGUAGUC
This 443-nucleotide ribosomal RNA is filed under the name uncultured bacterium. RNAcentral describes it as "partial 16S ribosomal RNA". It matches the Rfam family "Bacterial small subunit ribosomal RNA", at positions 338 to 795 of the family's 1533-position model. The record is from RNAcentral.